CUGGGAAGAAUAAAGCGACCCUGCGAGGCGAGGCAUUGUUGGCCGAGGGGACAAAUGCUAAUUUCUCCUUCCCUCCACCGAACGCCCGAGCGAGAAAUGCAAAUACCUCUGGCAGAGGGCUGCAGAUAAAAGUCUGGGUGUCUGCAUGCGCGCACGCAGAUGGGUUUGAGUGCCGCGAUAAGCUGGCAAACAAGCUGGACCGUAUGGGCAGGCACGGGGCUGCCCUGCUGCGACGGGAUGCGCUCCUCAGGCCGUUCCCUCCCACCGGGGCGUCACGGAGGGCCGCGGCACGGAGCAUCCCGAGCCCCAUCCCUGCGUGGGAUGAGCCCAUGGAGCCACCGUUGCCUUUCCCACCCCUCGGCCGCCCGUGAGCGGAGCUGACCCGUCGGAUGGCGCGGUGCCGUUUGCUCUUAGGACACGGCGGUGAGUGAGGGCUUAACGAAGGGACGAACGACGAGUCCCGUUUUGUUUGCUUUCUGCUCGGAAACGGGCUGGAAGGGGGACGUGACGGACGGCGGGGCCUCGCCGGGAGAGCUGCUGCUCAGUCGCCGAUUAAAUACGGAGCAAACAACGGCACGAGGACGGGCACAAGGACAAACCCCAUCCCCUGAUACGGGGCGAAGGGACACGGCCGUCCUCCGGGUGCACUGAGCGUCCCCAUAAGGCUCAGUGCCUCCAUCCCUCGGCUGGGCUCUCACUGAGCCCCGGGUAGUGCCCUGCGGGCACCGCCUCCCGAUGGAGCCAUUCCCAAGAAGAGCGAUUCUCAAAAGGAGCCGUUCCUUCGGGGCCGCUGCUGGGGCUCACCCCAUUACCUGCUUCCUUCUGCUCCAGCGCCCGGCCUCCAGCAGCCGGGAUUACAAAAAUAAUGCCCCUUGAAAAAGAGGAGGAAAAAAAGCAGCCGUGCUGUGGGAACGGCCGGCUAAACCCCAAAGCCUCUUACCUGGCCACAUCUCAGCGCCUUUGUUGCUGCACCGGCCCCAAAUCCCUCCCGUGGCGUGGCAGAGCCCUUUGUAAUGAGAGCAGAGCGGCACAGCCGUGGCCCCGCAUGGGUGUGGGGUACACCUGUCCUUACAGUGUGGCUGAGCAUAGAAUCCUGGAAUGGCCUGGGUUGAAAAGGCCCACAGUGCUCAUUGAGUUCCAACCCCCUGCCAUGUGCAGGGUCACCAACCAGCAGCCCAGGCUGCCCAGAGCCACAUCCAGCCUGGCCUUGAAUGCCUGCAGGGAUGGGGCAUCCACAGCCUCCCUGGGCAACCUGUUCCUCAUACACCCGUCCUGGCACGAUGGUGCCUUCUGCCUGCCUACCUCAAGGGGUGUCUCUGUCUCAGCCCCCGACCCAUCUCUUCGUUAGCAGCUCCGUCAGCGCAUCACCCCCCACCCCCACCCCCCCACUUCAACCUCGUGGCCGCCUCUCCGGGCCCCGCUCGCUCCGCCGCCCACCGC
Molecule: long non-coding RNA, 1440 nt
Filed under: Gallus gallus (chicken)
Lineage: Eukaryota; Metazoa; Chordata; Aves; Galliformes; Phasianidae
Description: lncRNA (ENSGALG00010028347.1)
Source: RNAcentral